GACAGAGGAUGCAAGCGUUAUCCGGAAUGAUUGGGCGUAAAGCGUCUGUAGGUGGCUUUUUAAGUCUGCCGUCAAAUCCCAGGGCUUAACCCUGGACAGGCGGUGGAAACUUCCAAGCUGGAGUACGGUAGGGGCAGGGGGAAUUUCCGGUGGAGCGGUGAAAUGCGUAGAGAUCGGAAAGAACACCAACGGCGAAAGCACUCUGCUGGGCCGACACUGACACUGAGAGACGAAAGCUAGGGGAGCGAAUGGG
This 253-nucleotide ribosomal RNA is filed under the name uncultured bacterium. Its description in RNAcentral is "partial 16S ribosomal RNA". It matches the Rfam family "Bacterial small subunit ribosomal RNA", at positions 524 to 776 of the family's 1533-position model. The record is from RNAcentral.